CAGAGUUUUCAACUCCCUAACCCAAAUGUGAACUUACCAAACGUUGCUUCGGCGGACUCGCCCCGGCGUCCGGGUGGCCUUGCGCCGCCCGCGGCCCGGAUCUAGGCGGCCGCCGGAGACCCCAAACUCUUUUGUAUUAUAAGUAUCUUCUGAAUCCGCCGCAAGGCAAAACAAAUGAAUCA
This 182-nucleotide unclassified non-coding RNA is filed under the name uncultured Lecanicillium. RNAcentral describes it as "sequence contains ITS1". The record is from RNAcentral. Lineage: Eukaryota; Fungi; Ascomycota; Sordariomycetes; Hypocreales; Cordycipitaceae.